GGGUGGCUUCAGCACAGGCCUUGGCUCCAGGAACUUCUCUGGUGAUGAAGUCAGUUUUUCACAGGUUGUCAUUAAUUAACUUUUUUUUUUCUUUCAUCCAGGUGAAGCUUAAAGAGCAAAAAAGUGGGCAGGGCAGAGGGCUGUCAAAAGAUGACUGUGGGCUAUAAGAGCUAUUUUGCUCAGGGUCAGGGAGGUUGAGGUACUCUUGGUUGUUUUUCCUUCUUUGCUCUCAUUUCUGUAUCAUAGAUGUAGAUAUUUAAGCACUUUGGUGUGUGGUUUAUAGGUAGCAAUGUAAAAGGAACUUAAAAUAUAGUAGUGUUGUUUCUUUGUUACAUGCUUCAAUGUUUUGAGGAUUUGAACUUUUUUAGCGUGAGUAGUAGGGAAGAAUCACUUGGUGAUGUUUAAAAUAGGCCUUAAAGAUUUCUGCAAUGAGAUACCUUUAGAAGCAUUGGAAUAUGAUGAAGAUAAAGCAAGUGGGGUAGAACAGAUGCUGCUGAAAAACAAAUGGAAGCUGGCAAGCAGCUGAAGGCCUGUGGUGGUUGACCAAUCUGCUCUGAACUGUUCCAGGAGCCUCCAGAGAACAAGAGGGUACAGACCAGAGAUCUACAACAGGGCCUGAGCAUCUCGUGUAAUGUCAAGACUUUGAGCUGAGAAAAACACAUCAGAGUAUCAGGACAGAAAAACAAUGGAUGAGAAGGACCUUAAAACUCUGCCUGUAGAUCUGAUCAAUGGAUCUCUGUGAAGUCCUUGGACUGACUCUGCUUAUGGUCUUUAAAUGAAGGGCUACUUAAAUUGAUAAUUCCUGCUCCAGAAAAAAAAAGACCACCUCAAACAACUUUUUAUUUUGAGAAUGCCGAUGAGAAAAGAAACUUUUCCCUGCAGUGAAAUGUGAGAUUCUGAAAGCCGACAUGCCAUCUUGUCAUCGCCAUACACAAGUGCAGAAUGAAAUGAGUGGAGCAAGUAAACAAAUGAUUGUGCCUCAGAGGGAAUUGAGGAGUUGCUCCGCACCAAAGCAUUCAGAAACCACAGUGGGAAUUGUAAAAAAGAGAAUGAUUUUAUAUUACCAAAGACACCAAGAUUUUUGUGUUAUUCCUACGUUGGGCUCAGCAGGCUGGGUUGCUUUGUAUCAGGAUGAUGCUGACCCUUGGCUUCAGGUCCACUUGGACAACAUGUUGGGCCACCCUCUGUCUGCACUCAAAUGGCCAUCGAAACAUUAAGUUUCAUUGAGCACCAUGUAGCCUGCUUCACAGGGAAGGCAUUACCACAUGUAGUAUUUAGCUUUGCCUUACUCAUUGGAGCUGGUUUUCUCUCAUGCUGUCAUUACAUGCUGUGACCACAAGUUCCUUCUUCAUCUGCUUCCUCUGCACAUCCCCAGAGUCCCCAGACUGGUACAGUCACAGUGACAUCAGCUCCCCUAGCUAUCCAAUGGCAGAAGCGUCAACCAUCUUCCAUUCUGUCUACCACUACCAAUUGCCUUCUCCACCAGACAGAUGUUGCUCCAUCCAUUUCUGAUGCUCAAAAUGGCAACAGAACAGUCGGUAUCCUUUAUCUGGCUUCUUCUGUGUACUUCUUAUCUUCAGAGACUGUAAUUUAACUUUUUUCCCUUUUAAUUGAAGAUCAUGGGUCUGAGGAUAUUACGCCAUGAAGAAAAUCAAAGAAAGGCUUUAAGGAUUUUCUUCUUUUUUUCACCUCACUGCCCACCCCUCCUUUUCACUUUCCUUGGAGAGAACCAAACCUUUUAAUACCCAGACCUUCUGACUAAUUGUCCCUAUUUUUUAGGGGCUCUUGGCAGGUCUGGUGACAUUAUAGAAAAAGUCCUCCCUAAAGAGCGCUGCCAAUUUCAGCUUUAAUUCCAUCAGUAAACAACUUUGACUGUGUUGGGAAAAUUCCAUUAAUCAUUCAUGUUCUGUGAAGAAUGAUACACAAAGGAGCUGUCAAAAUCAAGCAGCUACUCUCCAUUUGUUUGGUAAUUAAGAAACUCCAGGCCAUUCUGAUGGCACAGGGAUGCAAAUUCAAAGCCCAGCUAGAACCAAAAUGAAAUAAUAUAGAAUCACCUGCACUUAAAAGCUAGAGGCCAGACUGUACUCUCAGAGAGUGUAUUUAAGGUCACUUGUGUGUCUAAGUGCUCUAUCGGGUAUUCUGAUGUCUAAAUGAUGUCAGCUGCCCUUGCAAUUAUUUGUAAUUAAUGUAUACACAAUAAUUUGUCACAGCACGAGCAAAGAAUACAAUGCAUGAUGAAGAAAAAAGAACAGUGCUAUAAAGGACAAAAAAGUAAGCAAAUAGGCAAAACUUCAGACUGUGGGAUUUGGUCCUAAUGUUUCACUUAGCCGAAGAGUUUAGUUAUCCUAGGGCAACCCUCUUCCUGCUCAGUUUCUUCACUGUCUUUCUCAUUAUGUGGCAUCUGCUUCUUGAAGCUUUAAAGACUUAAGUACAACUUCUUCUGGAGCAAUGGGCUGUGAAAAGGGAGGUAAAACAAUCUAUCUUUGGGAUGUUAAACACGCUUGGCUUUUUGAUGACUUCUUUCACUGUGGUUCUAAACAAAGUGGUGUGAACGGCUUAAUUCAGUUUUAAACGAGGUGGAGUUACUUACGAAUUAAAGGUAUUUUAGGAAUAUGGCAGACUGGUUUGGAGAAGUAUCUCAGGUUAAUCUACUCUUUGUUUGAAGUGAAAGGAUUUGCGAAGAAAUUCAAACUCUACCAGGACGCUCCUCCAUUGCUGCCAGUGAGCAUCCAACAGGGGGCAAGCAAAGCACCACAAGGAGUAAGACUUUAAUUAGCCAGGUCUAUCUUGCUGAAGUCAAUGUAGCCAAUCUUAGUUAAUACUGAAGUUAUAAGUCCUGAUGAAGGUAACAGCAGGGACUAGGGGUGGCAGGGUAGUAAUGUAUGGCAACAGGCUUUAAGUUAACACACAGAUAUGCUUUCUACAUAGACUAAAAUGGUAAACGUGCAGCGCUGAAUCCAGCCAGCAACAUUCAGAAAGAAAUGAGCUGAACAAGAAUCAAUCGAUUGAUUGACUGCUUUAAUCACAGACCUUCCCUUUUAAUCAGACUGGAACUAGAGGCUUAUAAAUGAAGACUUCAUUAAACCUUCAUAUAACAGGAAAUGACUUCUUUUAAAACAUACAAUAUUAGGUUUUGUCCUGUAUAACAAAAUAUGAGGUAAAAUAUUUCAUAUGUUAUGCAACAUAACUUGUAUGUUAUUACUAGUUAUAGAAUCUACUACAGAUGUAAUAGUAUUCUGUGCUAAUAGUCGAACUGCUAUCUAGGUGGCUACCUGGAAACUGCAAAUCAGGCAAUUAAAUGCUGGGAAACCCACGCACUUCUAACUGAUGGCACAAGCUCAACUGAGGCCCUUCAGAAGAAAUCUGUGCCUUCAGGGUUAGUAGUACUUCAUGCUGCCAGCAUGGCUGCCUGAAGCUGAACGUGAUGUAUUAUUUAUGAGAUUAUUAUUAGAUCAGUAGUGAUGAUCAGUAAUUCACUCACGGUGCUUGAUUCUGGGUAGAUGUUCUGGAAUCAAAGAUGAACGCAAUGGCCUGAUCCUUACACUGAGGUCAGUUUGCCUUGCAGGCUUUCCAGGCAGCCUCUCCUGGCCAACUUAGUGAUUGUGAUGGGAAUCCCCUAGGAAGCAUCCCAGGACCCUCAGCCUCCUACCACUGCCACAUGCUCCAGCAGAGUGUUACCUGGAGCAUUCCCUCCUAGCUGGUGCAAAAGCCUGCAAUUCUUUUUUUAACUGAUUUAAACAUCCCACUCAUUUGUUAAGAGUGUGGUAGCAGAAACACGACCUCGUUUUGACAUUUAAAUAUGACCUUUUCUUAAAACCACAGUAUACUCUUUUCUUACAUGUUACUGGCUUUGACGUUCCUAACCCAUUUAUAUCAGUCGAAGAGAAUCCAGUGAUGUAACAAACAAGAAGUUUCUCUUUCUUCUAUCCAAAACCUGCAUCUCAAAUCUGUUCUCUUUAGUCCUCAUAAGCAGUUUUUUGAUCUGCCAACAUGGACUACAGUUGCCACCAUUUUGGAGCAGAACACGGUCAUUCAGACUUGUCAGAUAACGGAGCGCUUCUUCUUUCUUGUCCUAAUAUUGAUUUUCCAGAAGAUCGUUGUGAAACUAUAAGCUGGAUUGUAAGGGGCAGGGAAAGAAGAUAACUGUCUGGUUACUUCUCAGCCUACAUUCAAAAAACAAAUCAAUGAAUCAAUAAGCAUGUAUCUCCAUUAAUGGACCGUACUUAUUUAGGAUUAAUUAGGGUGGUGUUUCUUAGUUGUAUGUCCUGCCUGCAAACAGACUAGACAUUUAUGUUUUGUUACUGCUAUCAGGGGACUGUAGCAAGUGACCAUGUGUCGGCUGAGCUGCAGAGAUUUCCUCCAAGUGCGUUCUUCUGCCUGGGGCUUAUGCAAAAUAAUUCACUCCACCUGCCCUCUUUGAAGACAGCCUGAGGUAUGCCAUAAAAGCUAGCAUUUACCUUCAGAUAAAAGCACACCCAGGGAUGGUAACUGCAGCCCAGCUGACUCAUUUUGACUUGCUGAGCUGUUCUGAUUUGAUCAUCUCUACUUUUUUUCAAUGAAAGCUGACUUUUUUUCUGUGCUCCUCGCUCUCAGAAGCUGGUGUAGAAACAUCAUCCAUCAUGAAACUAGUGACAUAGCCACAAGAGUGGACAAAAUUGCUGUUCUUUAUGUUCUCAUUGCUUAUGGAAGGCUUUUAAUAAUUUCACACAGCUUUAAUCUACACAGCUGGUAAUUGAGAUGCUUGGCAUGCAUUCAUCCUGCAUCUUCUCUCUCCUAUAUCUGUCACAUGAAGUCCUAAGUAGAAAAGUGAGUGAGUCUAACUUGAAGCAUGCUAGGAACAUAUCUCUGAUUGGAAAAAAAGCACAACCCUAAGUCCUGUUUCAUAUUCUCUUUCUCUCUUGACCGCAAAGAUCAGCCGUGAUAGCAUGUGCCAUGCAGACUUUAAUGUUUCUGCUUUCUGACAAUGUUAAUUAGAGAAAGAAUUAUCAGCUAUUUAAUACUUGACUGUCAACUUGUUGAAAUUACUGAGGAGCUCAGGUUUUGUCAUACACUAACAAGCCUGGACCGGUACUUGGAGGAUGAGUCAGUCUGACUGUCCAACAUGGAUAAUCAGAUGAAAUUAGCAGCCCCAGACCUAAAGGAAGGGAUCUCAGCAUAGAAACAUGGCAAAAAUAAAAGAAUUCCAAAGCAAAUAUAAAAACUCUGUGUCCUGAUGAACAGAUCUUCAGCAUUUUUCCUUUCCAAGACACAUCUCAACUCUUCUGAUUGCAGCCAUACAGAAACAGGGUGGCUUACGUUUAAAAAGUACUACACUUUGAUAGGCUUAGGACCUGAUUUUCAGAAGGAUCUUUAGCCAGCUUUUCAUUUUCCAACCCUCAGGGCAAAAUGAUUAUAGCUGAUGAGACUCCAUAUACUUAUAUACACCCAAAGAUAGGGAAACAUGAAGCCUAACAGUCUGAGACGUUGAGUGGCAGCCAGAACUUUGGCAAGGGUAGAGCUGAAGGAAAGCAUUGCUCAGACUGAGAAGUGGUUGCUGAAACUGUUCUUAAAGGACAGUUGUAACCUUAGUAGUGAUCCUCUAGGAGGGUAAUGUGGAAGGAGAGAGCUGUUCAGCUCUGGCUGUUGGAAGUUGCCUCCUGUCUUGGCUUGUGCUGUCACAGCCGGAAUGGUCUCAGAGGAAUCAAGGGAUUUCCAGGGAUUGCUAGGCUGUCCUUUGCAGAAGGCCAACAUAAAGACUCCUGCACUGCUUAAGCUCUAUUUGGAUGGCUUACGUGGUUGUAAAUAGCCGUACGCUGGCACUGCACACAGCAGUGGAUUUCACUUAAUGAAGGCAAAACCAGUCACUUAAAGCUGCAUCACUGCUGGAAGGGAUGAUAAUCUCAUUCAGAGCACUUCUCCUUUGGUCUCCUUUCCAUCACUCCUGCCUUUUCAUAGGUGCACAGGAAAGCCUCUGAUUUUUUAUUUUAUUUUAUUUUAAUGCCCUGCUUUCAGUAGGGCAACUUAAAGGUCAAGUAAGACAUUUGAUAUAUUUUAACACAGGCAGCUUUGGAGAUGAACAGAUUUGACAUAUUUAAAUAAAACAUCCUAAUAGCAUGUUCUGGCCUUGAAGGCCUCAGGCAGCAUACAUUGUAUUUGUUAGACACUAUGGCUUAAUUACUCUCAUAAAUGAAUUAUACCCAUUUCAAUUUAAAACCAUAAGUGUUGCAUUUGAACUAGGGUCAAAUUAAACUUUCUGUCAAUUAUGCAGAUUACUUAAGCAAUUAUGUAAAUUGUUAAUAAAUUCUUAAAUGGAGGGAGAAUUUUUUCUUGCAAAAAUAUAUAUUUUAUGCAUUACCAAGCUUAAAUACUUUCAGAGGACAAAAGUAUGGGAAGAAAAAAAGAGUGUGGCUUGAAAUAGCUAUCUUGGGAUUUGCUGCACAGACUAUCUCCACCUUAUACACUGGUGGGUAAGGCUCAUCUGCUCUCAGGAUGAAUAAGGAGAAGCGGGCCAAUGAGUAAAUGCUUCAUGAUGUUUUUUUCUCUUUCUGCCCUUGCAUGAGAAGUGCCUUUGGUUUAAGGCUUGGUGUUCUGGUGUUUGCAGCCAGUGCUGCCCCAGGCUGUCACAUAGACUAGGUGCUCCCUACCCAUCCCAUACUUUCUAAUGCCUUUCUGUAGAUGGGAAGACUUGGAAGUAGUGACCAUGACUUCCUUUUUAUUUCUAUUUACUUUAUCAUUUGAGGUGUGCCUCCUCCAGAUAAAAAGAACUGGAAGUAUUGCCAUUGACUUAAGCAUAUGCUGGUUGCAGUCAUGAAAAUUAGUGAGUAAAUGCGUCUGUUUUUCUGGGCUUGUAUUUGCUUUCAUACUCAAACCACUGAAAGCAAAAUCCUGAUCUCACUUCCAGAAGGAAGAGGGUGGGAUUACUCACUUAUGACCGUGGAACAAUCCUGCAGAAUUUAGGCCACUGCCUGCUGGAUGUGUUUUGAUGCAAUUACACUGAAUUUAUUGCAGUGCAAAAGUGAUUGGAAUUUUCAGGGUCCAAUUUUAGUCCUGUCAUUAGGUGGUUCAACUCUCCCAAGACCUGCUAGUCCUCUCACAUACACCAGUUUUAUGCUAGUGUAAUUCUAUUGACUUAAUUAGAAGUACUCCCUGCAAUGAGGAGAGAAUUGGGUCCAUUAACUUCAAUGGGAACUUUCAUUAGGACUCAAUUCAGUCUCGAGGGACUUCUAAAUGAAUUAAAGCUACAUCUUUUUUUGCAAUCCCACAGAAUAACAGAAAGGUGCCAGUUACAUUCCUGCAUCACCUCUGCUCAUUUGACACUGACUUGCACACUGCCAUUAUUGAAUCCUGCUGAUUUGUGUUCCUCACAGCCUGACUUUUGCCUGUCAAAAAACCAAAGAGGUUUCCAAAUAUAGAGAAAUGUCUAAUUUAUCUGAACCUGGCUCCUGACUCUCAACCUGUCUUGUUUCUGCCGUGGAUGCAAGUUGUUCCAGUGCCAGGUGGGAUGAGCACUGGAAAUCCCACCAGGAAAAACAGGAAAGUGAACCUGUGGUUGGGUCUAUGAGUUCAGGAGCUUUUGCGUCUCAGCUCUGGCAGGGGCAGCGCACAAACCCAGAACUUGGGCGUUCCCGACUUGGCCCGUGACUAAUUGAAAUCCUAAUAAAGAAAAGGCCUCUGCCCUCAAUCCUCCGGGCCACUUACCUUGUGCAAAUUAACAUUUUAACAUCAGUUAUAAAAUGUACUACAUCUCUGGGAGGUGGGUGGAGGGGGGCAAGACUGAGGAGGGGAGCAUCUAAUGCAAUGAAAUAUGCAUAUCAAAGCCUAAAAAGAAAUGGGAAAAUUCAAUGAAUGCUAAAUUAUGGAUCUACAGAGGGCCAUCUUUGUUAAAAUCUACACGGCGGUAUCUUUAAACUCCAGAGUAUUAAACCAAAGGCACGGGGGCAGACAUACCUGGCAACCCUUUACUUUUUAUUCCUUGCAACACUGAGAAAAUACUUUAUAAAAUAUUAGAUGAAAGGGCUCUUUCAAAGCUACUUUACUUUUAUGGUGCCUUUCUCUCGAGCUGUUCUGCAUACUUAAAAGUCAGAGCCACCUUGAGUGGAUUACAUUUUUUUUUAAGUACAUUAUAGCUUGUUCGCAGCAGCCGACGUAACAGCCACCCGACCUGCGUUCCCAAUGCCUUGUUGUCAUCAUGAUAAGCAUUUGCUGUGAUAGGAAGGCAAAGAGAAUCAACCUUUUUAAACACACACAAAACCCUCGCUGCUUUGUUGAAGCAAGCGGCAGCCCCAGCUCACAGGGAUACACAGGGGCUGUAGACAGAAAGCUAUUUAGAGCAUUGAAAACAGGCUUAUUACCCUGCUAUUUUUUUGUGCGCUGGGUUUUUUCUCCCUUCUCUCUCUCCCUCUCUCACUCUCUCCCCCUCUCUCUCUCCCUUUUUUUUCCCGUGACAUUAGAGAGUCCGAAGUGACAUACAUUUUUUAUAGCUUCAUAAAGUCGUCUCCUGACCGGGUCACCCUUCUCAUAACUAGGGAGCAGAACGCUUGAAAAAAGCCAUUCAUCAACGUGAAAGGAGCCGCUGUCUACUGGCUCCAAUAUGCACACAGUCUGGCAAGAUUCAGCUCAGUGCAAAUGCUAAGUUACUCCUUUGCUAAUGCCAAAUGACCCGCUCACUUCUAUUAGCACACAGAAGGGGACAAGAAGGGCAUGGCUGCUGUCCGUGUCUGCAUAAAUGCCUCUCAAGAUGCAGACCGGGAUCAACACUUCUUGCUAAAUGUACUGAACACAUUAAAAAAAUAAAAAAUAAAUAAAUAAUAAAAUUAAUUUCAUAUUUAUCCUAAUUAAAUAUUCAAUUAAACAAAGAUAAAAUUAUGGGAAGAAAAUUUGUUCUUGCCUAAUGGGCUAUGUCCCGUUUAUUACUUUUCCUCACAUAUACCAUUAAAAUCCCCGCAAAGGGAUGCAGGAUUGUUACUCCCCAUGUAUGUCUUCCUCUCUCUCUCCCCCACAGCUCUUUGUUCUAUGUGAGCCGGUAGGACUGGGUAGGCAAAGUCAGAUGGAUGGAGGGACAAGCAGCCUUUCCUCUCUGCUACGGGAAAUCUGCCCGGAUAAAGACUCUUCUGUAAAAUGCAGAUAUUUGCAAAGGGCUUGCAUGGGGGAACAGACUGGAACAUGGGGGGGGGAAAGCAACGAUUAUCCGGGAUGAGGCCUCUCCUUGCUAUUAACGAUGACCAGAUGACUUCAGGAACGCCCUGGAGACCCUCUAGUGGGCAAUGCUGGGAUGACCCGCCUAGACAAGAAGUUUCUUCCUGACCCCCAAAUAAUUAGAAUUUAGACUUCUGCCUGGAAGCCUGAGGGUUUAUCCUGCUUCUCGACAAAAAGUAUGUUAGGGAUGUUCAAAAGGAGCAGUAGAUUUAGUCAUUAUCAAAAUAAAUGUUGAUGGGAUUCUUCAGUCUUGCAGAGCUCUUGAUUCCAAAGAAACAUUACAGCAGUACACCUCACAGGUUAAGUAGCCACUGAGUUGAAAAACUCCAACAAGCAACACCAAGAAAACUGUUUACUUUGUCAAAUUUAAAUGCACUGCAUUGUUCACGUGGCAUAGGACCUGCUAUAAAUCAUUCCUCGAUUUUGCUCCUCUCUGCUGUUCAUUAUUUUGUAAAACUCUUUUGUUCAUAUUCUGACUCCAUCUUCUCUCAGUGCUAAAGUGUCCUCAGACUUUUCUCUUGUGGUUUGAAGGUAGUAUUCCACUACCCUUUUAUGACAUUUACUUGAAGUCCUGCAUCUAUUUUGUAUGUAUCUUUCGCAGACAGAGUGACUCCAAAUUGCUUCUUCUUGCAGUGGAGUGUUUCCUCUUCCUUAAUUUGUUAGUUCCAAAUAUUUAUUUAUUUAUUUAGUGCUGUUGUACAUUUAAUCAUGAGUUUUCUUCACCUUUUCCCAGUGCCCCAAGCAGCAAUAUCUUCUUUCUCUUUUUUUAUUAUCCCCCACCCUGAAAGAUUACAGAUACAAGGGAAUUUGUGGAAAAUCUGGGUCUAUGUAAUCAGAGCUAUGUGGUUAUAUGGGAUUUCCCUUUUUACAGAACCUAAAACAGCUGCAGCCUUUUUUGACUUCUGUGAGCAGAAUGCUUUAGUGGGAUGAAUGCAGUGAAGGCCUUUACCCAGGGAAACCUGAGUUCACCGUAAAAUUUCAUUUGUACAAAUGUACAAAAGUUCAUUGAGCACUUUUCUCAUUAUUAGCCAGAACGAAUUUUCUUCAUCUCUCUCCUCAACAGGGCGCUAACCUUUCAAAUAAUAUUUAUCAGAAAACAGUUUUCUCAGAAACAGACUCAGAGUGUAUCAGCAGCAAGUCAGUCCAGAAGAAAAUUAAAGUGCAUUGUUCGCGCUUCCUGGAUAAUAUUCUUUCCAGAACCCGCCUAAGCAGAUCUCAGAUAUUGAGUGGAGGACAUGAGUUAGUCAAAAGAAAUGCUAAGGGAUUUUUUUAAAGGCAAUCAUCGUGUUGUUUCUCAUGGGUCUUAUGGGAACUGUCGGUCAGUGGUGGCUUCCCAAACCUAAAUGGAUAAAUGGAUGCACAUCUUAUUGCACCAAGUCUAGGAAAUUCCAAGAUCCAGCCAGGGAAAAACACUGAACUCUCUUCUCCUGAGCUUCAUGUCAGAAAUCCCAGCAGAAAAUUGUGAAGGCCUUAUUAACCCUUCUUCUUUUGUUGUUGCUGGUUAGGAACCUUCUGCAAUAAAUAGCAUUUUCUUUCCUUCGAAAGCCAUUUUCCAGUUGGAUACAUGCAAGUCAAAGAAAGGCAAACAUUUGGCUGAAGUCCAAGCACCAAGUCGGUGACUAACCCCAAAGUGAUGACCCCACUCUCUACAUGAAGAUGCACAGGAAACAGAGAAAACAGAGAACAACACACAUGGAGAUGCUUUGGUGUCAAGGCAACUGUUUAGAGUCCAGCUGAAAAAGGGCCUUUGUUAACGUCCUGAAUGCCUCAGUGAGAUGGAGAAAAAGGCAGUCCACACUGAAAUAUUUUAUGGUUGGGAAUCCUUAACUUUAAUCAACUUAAAGCAUACUGAGAACACAGAGCUGCGAGAUGGAAAAGAAAAUUAGCAAAAUAUUUGAGCUCUUCUUAGAAUUCUUCAAAAGAAACAAUUUGGUUCAUUGGGCUUUUGUUUUCUUUCUUUUUCUCUGUUAAACCAAAAUGGCAUUUUGAAGGAAUCUUUUACAACCUAAAUGUUUGUGUAGCUGUGACUGUUGCUGCAAAUGACUGCCACGCGUGAAGAAAUCAAGUUUUGUCUUUUCCAUAAUAUGUUAUUCUUUAAGUCCUUGUUUUUGUCUGUGAGAACUUGAGCUCUUAAUUUCAGUGUCAAAAUAUCUUGCAAUUAAAGUGAGCCGAAAGAAAACAUUGAUUGGGUUCUGAGAAGCCUUGGGUGCAUCAAGGGAGAAUUAUUUUUGUUUGUUUUAAUACAGUCCAAGUUUUUUGAGAUUAACUGAAGCUCCAUUAACAAACAGGUAAAAAAACCCUUGCGAGCAGAAAACAAAAAGUAGCACUGCUUGCAAAGAACCCCCUAUUCUCCCAGUCUGAGCUCUCUUCUCUCAGAGUGCACUGAAACAUUCGCAGUGACUUUAGAUUUCUCUUGCCCACAUCCCUGCUUAGGUCACUGUAUCGUUAAUUUUCUCAUUUCAGCUUGCAGUACAGUACCUAUAUUUUCAGCCAUGUGCUCCCAACAAGUCUGAUGUCUCUCUCAGAGCACCGCACUGUUGUGUUAGAACAGCCUUGCCCCAACAUCUCAUUUCCAUUCCCCCGCAGCCUGCCGCACUUUUUUCUCUUUUCCCUGACACAUUGUCCUAUCUUUUCCCUCCCUAUCACAUCUUGCUGUUGGAUCACUUCAUGCUGCAUGCCAUUUGCAUACUGAAUACCAGAGGAGACAAGGUAACCAAUGUCGUGGGACAUGACCCGCAACAUUUAGAUUGAGAUGCACAUUUUUGGAUCACUCACCCUAAUCCCAAUUGAGAUGAAAUGCAUCUGAGCCACAACUUUGGCAGAUGGCUCACAAAUCAGGUGUUUGCAAAAUAUCCCCCAAAAGUGGGAGGCAUUUGUGUACGCUUUGUAAACUCCUCUCCUUGAGCACCCAGGUGGGACUCGGUUUUUAGGGGGAUAUCCCAGAAAACAGACAUGCUAUUUUUUAUCAGAUUUUUGGGGAAAGAUUUACAGAGCCUUUUUGGAAGAUUUUUUUUUUUUUUUUUUUUUUUUUUUUUUUUUUCCUUUUUUUUUUUUUUUUCCAUUUAAUUUUUGGAGCUCACCUAAACCCCUUGCUCAGUCUCCUGUAGAUAAUUAGCUUAAAUGCCAUUUCCAUCCGUCGUGCUAAUGCGAAAUCAGACAGCACAAUGUCAGGAACUGGUAGAAUGGGUUUUGAAAUGAGAUUGCUUACUUUGUGGGUGUGCAAAGGGGAUUUUUUCUUUUUUCCGGGACUUGGGGAGCCACUGGAGAGAUUGCUUCAGCAUAUCUUUUAUCUUGCUUUUCUUAACCACAUUGCAUAGAAUUUGCAGCAAAUCAAGAGCAAUAGGCAAAUGACUGCGAGAGGGGGAAAAAAAAAGCUUGCUCCCUUCACUCAAAGCAAACAUCAGUAGGAGCAUUACAAAGGGUAGUUAUGAAUCAUUUGGAAACCCUUGUUUUGCAACCCUCUUUUAAUAGUUGCAUGUCCCCCGACAGUUGCUGCUUGCCCUCUUCCUGGUGGUAUAUGUAUCAGGCGGAGAUGUGUUAAUCAGCUUUAUGAAGUUUGACCGUAGCGAGCCUCCUGCUUGUAUUCAGUCAGUCAGUGUUUGGCCUGAUGGUGCAGUUCUCCUCAGUUCCACUGCUUGAGUUCAUUAUUCCAAUGUUCUUGGUGGAGUCAUCCAGGAAGGGUUCUGCAUGAGGUCCGGGUGCCUCUGUUUCAUCCUUCUCAUAAAGUUUGAAUGAAGCUCAGCUGAAUUAGGCUUCUCAAUAAAGUUGCCAUUAUUAUUAUUAUUAUUUGUUUUUCUGAUCUGCCACCAGAUUCUUGGGAACAAGGGGCUUAAGUUUUGCCCAGCCAGUGCUGGAAGUCGGGAAGAACAGAGGGAGAGUAGCAGAUAUACACAGGCAGAGAAGGAGUGGAAGUGAAACCAUAAUCUCCUGUACUUUUAUACAGAAUGCAAUGCCCUUUUGUCCUUCCUCUGCCUUCCUCUGAAAAGCAAGAUCCCUACUCCCAUCAUUACACUGAGAAAUGUGCUCAGCACCUUGUAGGAUGAAGCCUGCCAUUGAGCUGCGAUGCUGCAGUGGCACGUGUGGUCCCCUACCCCAUGCUUGCCCAAAGCCCAAAGUCCAUACCAAGGCUACAGACAUCCAGCAAGCAUAAGCCCAUCUCCACGGGCACGCACAGUGAUUUGUUGAAUUUCUACAUAUGACACCUCCUUCCCCCAGCCCCCCUCCCCGCUUCUCCUCUCGGCGUAGUUGAACUUUAAAGGGCCCAGGAGAAAAAAGAAAUAAGACUUUAAAUAAUUUAUUUUGGAGAAACAGUCAGUGAAGAGGAACAAACAAUGUUUCACUAAAAGAAGCGGGACCUUUGACACUCCCCUUUUCGCUCGGGUACCUGAAGGCCUAGCCGGAUUGCAUUAGUGAAAUUUUCAUUUGAUGGCAUUUUAAUAUUCUGCCUUGAUGACUUUUUAGCAACAUUUACUUUCAGAGGUCUUGAGUGCUCCCUCGGAGGAAAUGAAACAUGUCAAAGCCCAUUACAAAAAUCAAAAUUUAAAUACCUCGGCCACGUUGGGGCUCACACACAAUCCCAUCAGCGCUUAAACUGUGGCUCGCAACUACUCAUUCACUUGCUCAGUUGGUAAUGAGUACAUUUGAUGAAGCAUUCUGGGGUCACAGAACAUACGUUAGUGAUCUAAACUUAACCCAUUGAUUGCUUAUACACAGAGGACCUAGGGAGGGGGCACUUUAUUGAAAUGUAGCAUUGGAAUAAUUUCCGCCAGUGCUGAAAUAACUUUUUUUUUUCUUCUGUUUUAACAAUCGCUUUGAUGAAUUGGAAUGUUGAUAAGCAUGAUGGGAGGGCUUUAUUUAAGGUGGGGAGGAAGGAACUGGGCUGAGAAUACAGAGCAGUUAGCUGGGUUCUUCAGCCACUAAAAAGCAAGCUGAAGACAACGCUGGUGCUCUCUCUUUAUCAAACUCACAUUUGUGCUUCCUUGGAAAUCUUUCCUGUUCUGUCACCUACUUUCUGGUUGUAUUUUCACCUGACUGUUCCUCUUUUCUCCACAUUUUUUCAAACUAUUUGGCAUAAAUAGUUGGGAAAUUUGUCUUUCCCUUCUUUUUCCUCCUCCUCCUUUCCCCCCAAAAAACACCAAGAGCCCUUUUCCUGCUGUAAGUUAACGCAGCUCAUGAGAUAACCAAGAUGUCGAUAUAUGUAAAAUUUUUUCUUACCAUCAUCUUGAACUUGAGUAUAUGCUCGGUUCACAGCAUUCAGGAGCAGUUCUGGCAGUCCUUCUGGCCAAUGCUUUCCCAUGCCCGAGGCAGGCCAACUCCAAAUGGUGCUCUUCGGGAUUGCAGUGCAAUCAGCAGAAGUCUGCUUGAUUCUUCCAACAAUCGCUGUCCCUUUAGUCAGGCAGCUUUUAUCGAUCCUUUGCAUUUUAACUGUGGUGUUAAAAACAGCAUUUAGAAGGCAGAAGUGAUGCAGAACCCAAGAGUUCAUUAAGAUCCAGAAUAACCCGUGAUUUAUGCCGGACAGGCCAGAUAUCACAAAGUGGUUAGAGACAGCUUUGCAUCAUGAAAACCGCUUUCUUCCAGACAAAGACUGGUGUUCUUGUACUGAAGCUCACAUUUCAGCACUGCACUUAGGUCUCUUUUAUUCUCAUUUUAAAUUAAGCAGUCCUGAUAACAUGCGCUACCAAUAAAUUCAGAGGGACAAAAAUUGUCUUAAUUAAGUAAUUAGUUGAACUAACAAGUAGCAAGCUGCAAAUUGCUCCAAACUGAGAUCUAGCUAAAAAUCUGAAAUCUGUGCAGCUUGAGAAAUGCACCGAGCAAAAUCUGGGCCCACUCUGAAGUUCCCAUAGGAUGCUAACUCUUAAAGCUGAUGUCACCUGUGAGCAAUAAGAUGCCAAACAGCCCUUGAGGAUGAAAAAAUGAUCAAACUUUGGAAAACAACUUGGCUCUCACCUGAAUAUCAAUGAUCCUUUGGGCUGAUGGGAGGCUUUCUCCCUCACACACAAUUAGAUAGAGAUUAGGCUGGGCUGGAAAUUCCCAAAGGCAAAAUACAAUAAAAACAUUGUACACGGGGAAGGUUGUAACCCUUUCUUUUGUUGAUGAAAGAGUAGCCUAGCUCUAAGGAUUCAUAACAUUAAACAGUUGUAGGUAUUGUGAGGAGACCACUAUUAAAUUGAAUCAGGCCUACCACUAUUUUGUUGUGAGCUUUUAUUGCAAGGAGGAACAUAGAAUACAGGAAGCAUCUUGAGUGUAAAAGCACUUUCUGGGAUUAUGAAGGACAAGUGGUUCAAUGCAAUUUAUACAUGCUAUAAAUGUUGUCAAAAGUCCAGUUGCAGCCUCUGACCAAUUAUUUUGCAUUGCAAUAACCAUUAGAUGAGAAGGGUAAAACACUGGUUGUUAUAAACAAAACCCCAGGAGCUCCCAUUAUUCUGUCCUGGCUUUUCUUAGAACGUGCCUGAAUUCAUUGUGAAUAAUCUAACAGUAAACAGAUUUGAACUUUUUUUGGGGUUGUCUUUUGGAAAUGUGCUUGCAGUCAAGUUUUACAAGAAAGAAUAGUUAGCAGGAGCCAGUUUUAACCACAUAUAUUUAGAUGAAAUCAAAUAGCAAGACAGACAGUUAGAAAACUGGGAGAAUUCUUCAGUGAAUCUGUGUAAUGAAUAAUUUUGACAUUCUGCGAGGAGAAAAAGGCAAAUUCACAGAACUUGUUACAGAUUCUUUGCUCAGCUCUGCUAGUAACUAAGCAAAAUCAAUACAGCAUGAAUGAGGGAUCAUGGAAUCAGGUAAACGAGACAAAAAUAAGCAGGCUUCAGAGUGCAAUUCUUAUUCUUGGUGAGCAGCAGUGGACUUUUUGCCUUUGUAGAUUUUGUCAGUAUCUCCAUUACAGAAACAGGGAGCAGAAAUUGAUCUGUGAGAGCUGUCCUCGUCACACAGCAGGAAUGCAAAGUAAAGGACCUCAAGUGCACUCCAGACUUUGAUGCCUUCAUGCUGAAGCCCAUAGAAAACAGCAGCCAAGCAAUUUGACUGUUAUGUGAUAGAUAGUCACUCCGAGACAACAUCACCACAGAGAAGCAGCCUGGCUGCUUUUGCCCCGGUUCUGCCAAUCUGACUCAAGACCUGUCUGAAUUCGUUGACCCAUUUCUCCCUCAUUCUGGUGCCCGUCCUGCACACCACGUAUGCUAUAAAUCCAUCGCGCAGUAUGCUGCACUGCUCUUCUGUAACAUGAAUUUAUGCUAAUGGCUGUCUGCAUAUGCUUAUAUCACAUAUCUAUAUUAAACUUAAUAGUCUGUUACAUUGCUUCUUAACCCUGUGUCCACACAUGAUUAACUUUUCUGAUUUCUUUCAAAACCGUUAUUAACACAGUGUAGCAUUUCCCUCAACAUGUCACUAACUUUCCCUGCCUGAUGCAGGAGUUGGGGUAAUUAUGCAGCCCUAUAGCUCUUCCAAGUAACGCUGUACACAAAGAGUUAUGAGUUUCUUCAGCAGUUUGAGGAUUUGUGUGGAUGCGUGGAUGGUGGAUGUGUUAACAUGCUUUUGUUUAAAGAUAACAACAGGUUAGAGAUGAUCCAACAAAGACUGAUUCUUAGUUAAAUGAUACUUAGGUGAGUUCAUUAAUUUUGAGAGUGUAUGUCAGAUUCAGAGGCAAGGCCAUCAGCAUGCUUGCAUACGUGGAGAUACAUGUGAUGGGUUAAUGACUGGACUGAUGGGUUGAUGGUUGGACUGGUGGUCUUUGUGGUCUUUUCCAACCUUAAUGAUUCUAAGAUUCUACCAAAGUCACUUGAAAGUCAGAGCCUGUACUUAAGGAACAGUUCAAAUGAUAUGGAUCUUUCUUUCAAAACUUUUCUAGAGACCUAUGAAGAGCUAGACUUGGACACUCUGAUAUUAAUGAAGGUAAUUAUUUUUAGGUAAAUAACAUACUAAUAACAGAUUGGUUUCUCUCUGGUUUAAAAUACUCUAUUUGCUUAUAAAUACACAGUUCAUGGGUGCAAACUCAGACUUCUUGAUUUUCUGCUCAGCAUGUUUUUGUAUCUUGGCCAUGGCUCUGGCAGUGGCUGCAAAAAGCAGUGAUGUUUUAGCUUGGAGAUUCUGUGCCAUAUAGGAUACUUUCUAAAGUCAGGAUAGCAUAGCAAACAGUUUAGGAUGUCUUUUCAUUUUCACAGAACAAUUUAAGGUUAAAAUGCCAGUGUCAUGAAGUUUGGAAUCAAAAGGCCUUUGGAAAGCUCUACCUGAUGCAACUCACACUUUUAAAUAUAAAGAUGAACUUGUUAUUUCCCUCCCAUUUUUCUGUGUCAUUUCAUUUUUUAAAAUGAAUUUUGAAUUUUAUGUUUUAAUUACAAAUACACUCUCAGCCUUGAUAGACCACAUGUGAAGAAAGAAGUUAGAAAAAAAAAAAAAUAGAAGAAAUGGAAAAGUAGUGUAAAUAAACAGUUACUAAUGUACUAUUUUUGAUUUUCCUGUUUACUUUGUACAAAAGUUUUCUGGACGUCAUUAAUGGCAGUGGCAUUUAUUCAGCCCAAUUUUGACUUCAGAAGACUGACUGUUUUCCAAAGGUUGAGCACAGGGAGGCUUUGAAGAGAACUCUGCUUCAGUUUUGCUGAGUAGACUUGAGAGGCCAGCUGUACUAACCUCUGCAAAAUAAGAGUUUGCAGGGUAUGUUCAACUAAAGCUUUCAGAUAGCAAGGGAAGAAAAGAAACUUUUCAGUUGCUUUAAAGGAAUAAGUACUUGUUGAGAGAUACUGUCUCUUGCUGAGUGGUCUCACGUUUUUUAUUACAUUACUGAGUGGACAAAUAAAUAAUUUACUAGCUUAUGUGCAAAAUGCACUUCUAGCUUCUGCUGGAUCAGUACUGGCUCACAAACUACUGCUCCAAUACUUGAACUUACUUUAUCCUUUAGUCUCUGGCCAAUAAUUUUUAUUUUUACUGGACGACAGUUUCAAAUGAUAGAACUAUUUCUCUAGCAUUAUGUAUGGCUUAACUGGCAACUGCCAAGCUAUGAAAUCACUGUAAUCAUGAUGUGAAGCCACUGUACAUGUUGUUUUUAACACCAGUUUGCUAAACAGAGAAGCAUGCCAAUGGUGUUAGAGAUAACCUAGUUUGAAUUGCUCGGAUAAUAGGUCCAGGCCAUCCCAAAGAAGGGAAUGUAUCUGCCCCAGCUUGGUACCAUAUUAAAAUAUAAGCUGGUGGCAGCCAAGACUAUAUGAGCUCUGAAAAAUGUUGGGCUGGUGUAAUACAUAUAGCCCUCAUGAAACAGAAUGGGCACUAGGAGGGCAAAACAGAGUGAAAUACCAGAGUGCUCUUGUGAUUGAUUGUAUUGCAUAAGUGAACAAGGAAAAGGAAAGAACUUUUGCUAGUGAAAAAUAGAUCUUGGCAACUCAGGGAUUUGCUGUAACAAGAACUCCAAUAAAAUAAAUGCGGAGCAUUUUCAGGGUAUGGGGGCUGAAUGAGCACAAUCUUCCCUUGGCUGUAACUGCAUCACUCUCACCCACAGCUCCCUCUGCUGAACUGAAAUCUAAGUUAGAAACAACAUAGUCAAACUUGAACAAGGCACAUUCAAUGAAGACUCCAUUAUGUGUGUAAUUGUAUAUAGCAUUUAUGUGCACAGUGUUUUAGGGCCUGCCAUGAACUCUGUCUCCCAAUAAAGCACAUCAUGCUGAUAGUCAAAGAGUCCAGCAGUCUCUACAAUCAGACUAGGUCUACCUCCAAGCCCAGGCAUGAGUAAAAAUUAGCCAUUAAGCUAAUGAUGUGCCAUGAUUUUCCAUGUCUUCCAUUGUUUGCCUUAUUGUCAACUUCCUCAUCAGUCCUCUAAGUUUUCCUUAUUUUCGAUUAGUCAUUUUCUUGUUUCUCUUUGGAUGCUUUUGGCUAUCCUUCAUUAGAGCAACCACAAAGGAAUAACUAGAAUUUUUGUAGUAUACCACUAAAGCUAUCUGCGGUAGAGAAGGGGUUAUAUCACUUAAUUGUAGAGAGUUGCUCUGUCCUGCUUUUUACAUUAACUAAUGUCACAUGGAUCUUUAUAUUUUUAAUUAUUAUUGUUGUUUUGGAAACGUCUAAUAUGAGUAAAGUUCCUGUGAGACUCUUAAAUAAAAGAUUUCAUUAAAAA
Non-coding RNA from Coturnix japonica (Japanese quail), 19261 nucleotides. The record is from RefSeq and is a predicted model, not a curated record. Lineage: Eukaryota; Metazoa; Chordata; Aves; Galliformes; Phasianidae.